AUAAAGUUCAACUGUGCCAAGCAAUGAUAAAAAAAACUUGUGUGACAAGCUGCUUGACAAGUUUUUCAGCCUUAAAAGUAGAAAGAUAGAGUUCUAUAUGGGCUAAAGAUGUUGUUCUUGUAUAACCUGUGAUUCAACGAAUAAACACAAAUGUUUGAUUAACAUCUUUUAUUAAAAUAUGCCCUUUUCAUAUUAUCAUAUCGCGCGUUAAAUGCCCUUUUUCAGGAUUGGCACCCUGCCCUUUUGAAAACCUAGCUGGAACACUGUGAGAACAACCCAUG
This 281-nucleotide long non-coding RNA is filed under the name Mytilus galloprovincialis (Mediterranean mussel). Lineage: Eukaryota; Metazoa; Mollusca; Bivalvia; Mytilida; Mytilidae. The record is from RNAcentral.